This is a long non-coding RNA of Clarias gariepinus (North African catfish), 358 nucleotides long. RefSeq lists it as uncharacterized. Lineage: Eukaryota; Metazoa; Chordata; Actinopteri; Siluriformes; Clariidae. The record is from RefSeq and is a predicted model, not a curated record. The transcript is spliced from 3 exons.
CCAGGAUGAAAGGAGCUGUGGUUAUCCUUCUGCUUAUUGCCCUGUUCCAAAACUCCUCAGUGGCCGGGCCCAUGGACAGGCCUCAGCUGACGCCUCAGCCAGAAAUCCAGACGGAAGCUGUGGAGGCGACAGGACCAUUAGAUGAGUCUCAGAAUGAGAUCUCUCAGUCUGCGGGUCUUCGGGUGAAGAGGGAGACGUUCAUCGUCUCAAAGACACCUGACCGUUUCUGUACUGGUUGCUUCUCUGUGAUAGGAGACCCAACCAGACCACAGUAGCAACACCUUACAAAGGUUUUUAAAGAAGAAAAAUACAUUUGUUGACUCUAUUUUAUUACUUUUUGUACUUGGAGGUUUUUCUA